Unclassified non-coding RNA from Octopus bimaculoides (California two-spot octopus), 1641 nucleotides. NCBI's taxonomy places the organism in Eukaryota, Metazoa, Mollusca, Cephalopoda, Octopoda, Octopodidae. The record is from RefSeq and is a predicted model, not a curated record.
UAUAUAUAUGUAAGUACGCAUCUAUUUUUAAAAAAGUAAUUGAAGAACAAACGAGAACGAGACUUGAGAGGAACAAGUUCAAGCUGGAAUGUUAAGCAUGAACUAUAUAAACAACUUUUGUAUAAAGAUUAUAAAUCACCUGGUGGCUUUAGUCUACCUUUCUUGGGACUAGCAAACGGUUCUCUACUGACGUGAUUACAAAAGUAUGAAAUAUGUGGAAUGCUUUAUCAUGAAAACACACAGGAAUAUAUCCCAAAUUAUGGAAAUACACUACAGUGUGUGUCACAACCAAGAAAGUGUUCCUAUGAUCCUGUUUGCUAUUGUCCAAACACACUUGCUUCCAUCAUUUCAAAACUAAUGGUGCAGUCAUUAACAACCUACGGUACUGUAUCAGGUAUGUGAAAUCCCUGCCAGGACUACCUGCCAGAAUGCCACCUCACAAACUGGAACUCAAGAAUCUGAAUCUACGGAGAGAGCUAUUGAACGGCACACGUUUGUUGGUAACGUCCCUGCAUGAUUUUUACAUUCAUGGAAAGUUACGAAGUGGAAGCAAGAAGGAAAGGCGGUGUUUAUCCCUAGGAGGAACCUUUCACCAAGUGAUACAAAUCUGCCUUUUGUAAUGAACAGAAGACAAUUUCCUGUAAUACCUACAUUUGCCAUGACCAUCAACAAAUCACCAGGACAAUCAUUAAACCAAUUAUUUGACUGUGGCUAUGCUGGAGCACCGCCUUUAGUCGAGCAAAUCGACCCCAGGACUUAUUCUUUGUAAGCCUAGUACUUAUUCUAUCAGUCUCUUUUGCCGAACCGCUAAGUUACGGGGACGUAAACACAACAGCAUCAGUUGUCAAGCGAUGUUAGGGGGAUAAACACAGACACACAUACAUACACAUAUAUAUAUACAUAUAUACGACGGGCUUCUUUCAGUUUCUGUCUUCCAAAUCCACUCACAAGGCUUUGGUCGGCCCGAGGCUAUAGUUGAAGAUACUUGCCCAAGGUGCCACGUAGUGGGACUGAACCCGGAACCAUGUGGUUCGUAAGCAAGCUACUUAUCACACAGCCACUCCUACGCCUGAACAUAUAUAUACAAACUUCGACGGAGUAACAGUUAUAUAUACAACUUCAACAGACACACAUACCAGUACAUAAACAUACAUUUAACAGUCAUAUAUACAACUUGAACAGACACACAUAUCAAUACAUAAAUAUACAUUUACUUGUACAUACACAUAUACACACAGACACGUCUAUACACUUAUAAAUACAAAUGCUUACAUACAUACAUACAUACAUGAUAACAGGUUCAAUGUGAAAGAAGAAGGAAAAAAUAAACAACUACGACGAUUUGAAGUGAGAAAUACGAAGGUUGUAGUCAAUGAAGAGAGUAGACGUGGUACCAAUAGUAAUUGGUUUACUUGGAAGUAUCAGCGCUCAACUACCAGCAUGGCUGAAAAAGAUUGGUGCAAGGGUGAAGGUAGAACACCUACAAAAAUCAGCAUUGCUUGGAACUGCAAGAAUUCUUCGCAGGGUUCUUGAAGCGUGACCAGUAAGCAAGUGUCACCUUAGUCUUCUGACUGUGGACAUCUGACACUCUCCACCAUGCCCUACAAAAUAAGCUGUGUGUUUUCGUGUAAUAAUAAUAAU